GACGAACGCUGGCGGCGUGCUUAACACAUGCAAGUCGUACGGUAAGGCCCUUUCGGGGGUACACGAGUGGCGAACGGGUGAGUAACACGUGAGUAACCUGCCCACAACUUUGGGAUAACGCUAGGAAACUGGUGCUAAUACUGGAUAUGUGCUCCUGCUGCAUGGUGGGGGUUGGAAAGCUCCGGCGGUUGUGGAUGGACUCGCGGCCUAUCAGCUUGUUGGUGGGGUAGUGGCCUACCAAGGCGGCGACGGGUAGCCGGCCUGAGAGGGUGACCGGCCACAUUGGGACUGAGAUACGGCCCAGACUCCUACGGGAGGCAGCAGGGGGGAAUAUUGCACAAUGGGCGCAAGCCGGAUGCAGCAACGCCGCGUGCGGGAGGACGGCCUUCGGGUUGGAAACCGCUUUCAGCAGGGACGAAGCUUUUUGUGACGGUACCUGCAGAAGAAGCACCGGCUAACUACGUG
This 465-nucleotide ribosomal RNA is filed under the name uncultured bacterium. Its description in RNAcentral is "partial 16S ribosomal RNA". It matches the Rfam family "Bacterial small subunit ribosomal RNA", at positions 28 to 507 of the family's 1533-position model. The record is from RNAcentral.